RNAcentral lists this long non-coding RNA (219 nucleotides) under Elaeis guineensis (African oil palm). RNAcentral describes it as "long non-coding RNA (EGUI_LNC043886)". Lineage: Eukaryota; Viridiplantae; Streptophyta; Magnoliopsida; Arecales; Arecaceae. The record is from RNAcentral.
GGAUUUCUUGGAGGACCUCUUUAGAAAGGUCAACUUCUUUAAUCAGCUCGAUGUUAGCCAACUUUUUUUGCUUCAAAAAGUACUCCAGUCAAUCUAUCUUUUCCUUUGCUACUAUAAGCUUUAACGUCGAAGCCUCAAAGGGUCGAUGAAGCUGGCCAAAUAAUGUCUUAUCUGUACAAAAUUUAUACAAAGCCAUGUGAGAUUAAAUGCUGCAAGUUG